GGAGAAGCAAAGUGAUGAGCAUUAUUGGCUAGAGCCCCAAAGAGGCACAUGUGUGUAUGUGUGUGUAUGCAUGUGUGUCUGUAUCCUUGUCUGUGCAUGCACAUGUAUGUCUGGGAGUACGAAUGUGUCUGACUGAUUAUAGGGAACUAGUUUGUGCCUUCUGUUGGACGAUGACAGUCAAACUGAUAAGAUCUGAUUGCUUC
Small nucleolar RNA from Nyctereutes procyonoides (raccoon dog), 203 nucleotides. RefSeq annotates it as small nucleolar RNA ZL1. The record is from RefSeq and is a predicted model, not a curated record. NCBI's taxonomy places the organism in Eukaryota, Metazoa, Chordata, Mammalia, Carnivora, Canidae. The transcript has a single exon.